RNAcentral lists this long non-coding RNA (207 nucleotides) under Hordeum vulgare. RNAcentral describes it as "long non-coding RNA (HVUL_LNC009669)". The record is from RNAcentral. Lineage: Eukaryota; Viridiplantae; Streptophyta; Magnoliopsida; Poales; Poaceae.
UAUCUCUCUCUCUACUCUUACAUGGUAUCAGUUACCCUCUGAUCUUCUCCUCGCUUCCGCUCUCUGCUGCCGGCAUGGCCUCUCCUCGUUCGCCUCACUCCCCUCUCUCCGGCGACGUCAACCCGUUCGCCGUCCUCGAGCCCGCCUCCGCCGCCAGCAUCCGCCUCAUCCACAUCCAGGACCAUGUUCCCGUUGUGCUCGACCUCC